GCGGAUGUGAUGGAACUGGUAGACAUGCAAGAUUUAGGUUCUUGUGCUGUGAGGCGUGGGGGUUCAAGUCCCUUCAUCCGUA
Molecule: transfer RNA, 82 nt
Filed under: Rickettsia prowazekii
Lineage: Bacteria; Pseudomonadati; Pseudomonadota; Alphaproteobacteria; Rickettsiales; Rickettsiaceae
Also listed under: 1 other name
Description: tRNA Leu (TAG)
Rfam family: tRNA
About the family: Transfer RNA (tRNA) molecules are approximately 80 nucleotides in length. Their secondary structure includes four short double-helical elements and three loops (D, anti-codon, and T loops).
Source: RNAcentral